Bubalus bubalis (water buffalo) is the source of this 1393-nucleotide long non-coding RNA. RefSeq lists it as uncharacterized. Lineage: Eukaryota; Metazoa; Chordata; Mammalia; Artiodactyla; Bovidae. The transcript has 2 exons. The record is from RefSeq and is a predicted model, not a curated record.
GCGCCCGCUCCCACUGGCCCAGAAAGCCAUCGAGCCUGCCACCCAGACCCCCGAGCAGCCGUAGGGCCUCCUGCACGGCUCCCUCCUCCUGAUGCCACCGGGCGGUCAGCGAAGACACCUCCCUCCUGUAGGGGCAGAGCAGCCAAACUUGUGACUUAAUAACAGCCUCCAGAACCCUGGGGCCUCUGACCUGCUAUACCUGAGAUGUUUAUGUCAGCAAUAAACUAUCCUGCUUCAACCAGAUAUUUGGGGUUUCUUUCACAGCUGCUUAAGUAAUACACAAAGAGAAAAGAGAACAAGCUUCCUCCAUUGUUAAAUGGGAACAACUUCACAUUUCUUGCACAACUGCUCUGGAUAAAUACCGUGAUAAAUACUGUAUUAAGGUGAUAUCAGCAAAAUAGAGGAGUUGGAAACCCCCAAAUUCCACCCCUUAAUGAAAACAAUGAAAAACAGUGACCAAAACUGACUCAAGUCAUUGGGAAGAUUACAACAAUCAUAAAUAUAUAUGCACCUAAUACAGCUUCAAAGCACAUGUAUCAAAAACUAACAGAAUUGGGAAUUCCCUGGCAGUCCAGGGGUUAGGACUCCGUGCUUUUACUGCCGAGGGCCCAGGUUCAGUCCCUGGGUCAGGGAACUAAGAUCCCACAUGCCGCAUGGCACAGCGCCCUUCCCUCCCCCCUCAAAAAGAAAGAAUGAAUUGAAAACUAGAAAGUAGAUCAGCAAAGAGAUAGAAGACUUGAACAACACUAUAAACCAACCAAACCUAACAGACAUCUAUAGAACAUAACAUGCAACAGCAGAAUACACAUUCUUCCCAAGUGGAAUGAAACCUUCAUAUGGUCAAGGAUAGAUGCUAAAGGAUAUGAAAACGAAGUGUGCUUUCUGAACUUAAAGACCUCAGUAGAAUGAAAUUAGGAAUCAAACGCAGAAAGAAAUUUGAGGAAAUCACAAGUAUUGAUAUAUGAAAAUUAAGCAACACACUCAUAAAUAAUGGGUGGAAGAAGAAUCACAAGAGAAAUUAUACUUUGGAAUGAGAGGAAAAUGAAAAAAGUUUACAGUGGAGAAAAUGAAAUAGAACAGUAGAGAAAAAUCAGCAAGCCAGAAGUUGUUUUUUUUAAAAGAUCGACAAAAUUGCCAAAUUCUUGACUAGAAUGACUAUGAAAAAGAGGAAGAUUACUCAAAUCACUAAAAUCAGGAAGGAAAAAGGGGACAUUACUACCAGUCUUAGGGAAAGAGAAAGGAUUACAAGAGAACCCUCUGAACAAUUGGAUGGCGUCAAAUUUGAUAACCUAGAUGAAAUGGAAAAAUUCCUUGCAAAACACUAACUGGAGAAGAGAUAGGACAUCUGAAUAGCCCUACAACAAAUAAAGAGUUUGAGUUAGUGAUUUUAAAA